This 287-nucleotide ribosomal RNA is filed under the name uncultured bacterium. RNAcentral's name for it is "partial 16S ribosomal RNA". It matches the Rfam family "Bacterial small subunit ribosomal RNA", at positions 775 to 1067 of the family's 1533-position model. The record is from RNAcentral.
GGAUUAGAUACCCUGGUAGUCCACGCUGUAAACGAUGGUUACUAGCUGUUUGGUUUUCGGACUGAGUGGCUAAGCGAAAGUGAUAAGUAACCCACCUGGGGAGUACGAUCGCAAGAUUGAAACUCAAAGGAAUUGACGGGGGCCCGCACAAGCGGUGGAGCAUGUGGUUUAAUUCGAUGAUACGCGAGGAACCUUACCAGGGCUUAAAUGUGGAUUGACAGGUUUAGAGAUAGACUUUUCUUCGGACAAUUCACAAGGUGCUGCAUGGUUGUCGUCAGCUCGUGUCG